UCGGGUCUACCGAGGAACUCCCCAACCCCUGUGAACAUACCUUAAUGUUGCCUCGGCGGAUCAGCCCGCGCCCCGUAAAACGGGACGGCCCGCCAGAGGACCCAAACUCUAAUGUUUCUUAUUGUAACUUCUGAGUAAAACAAACAAAUAAAUCAAAACUUUCAACAACGGAUCUCUUGGUUCUGGCAUCGAUGAAGAACGCAGCAAAAUGCGAUAAGUAAUGUGAAUUGCAGAAUUCAGUGAAUCAUCGAAUCUUUGAACGCACAUUGCGCCCGCUGGUAUUCCGGCGGGCAUGCCUGUUCGAGCGUCAUUUCAACCCUCAAGCCCCCGGGUUUGGUGUUGGGGAUCGGCUCUGCCUUCUGGCGGUGCCGCCCCCGAAAUACAUUGGCGGUCUCGCUGCAGCCUCCAUUGCGUAGUAGCUAACACCUCGCAACUGGAACGCGGCGCGGCCAUGCCGUAAAACCCCAACUUCUGAAUGUUGACCUCGGAUCAGGUAGGAAUACCCGCUGAACUUAAGCA
RNAcentral lists this ribosomal RNA (519 nucleotides) under Fusarium sp. TRT22. RNAcentral describes it as "eukaryotic LSU rRNA". The stretch from base 157 to 310 matches the Rfam family "5.8S ribosomal RNA". The record is from RNAcentral. Lineage: Eukaryota; Fungi; Ascomycota; Sordariomycetes; Hypocreales; Nectriaceae.